GACGAACGCUGGCGGCGUGCUUAACACAUGCAAGUCGAACGGAAAGGCCCUGCUUUUGUGGGGUGCUCGUGUGGCGAACGGGUGAGUAACACGUGAGUAACCCGCCCUUGACUGUGGGAUAACUUCAGGGAACUGGGGCUAAUACCGGAUAGGAGCGCCUGCUGCAUGGGGGGGGUUGGAAAGUUUCGGCGGUUGGGGAUGGACUCGCGGCUUAUCAGCUGGUUGGUCGGGGAGUGGCAUACCAGGGGUUUGACGGGUAGCCCGCAUGAGAGGGUGACCGCGCACAUUAGUCCUGCGAUACGCACCAGACUGCUACGGGAGGCAGUGGUGGCAACUCUUGCCCAAUGAGCGGGAGCCUGAUGCGGAAGCCCCGCGUGCGGAAUGACGGCCUUCGGGUUGUGAACCGCUUUCGCCUGUGACGAAGCGUGAGUGACGGUACUGGGUAAAGAAGCACCGGCUAACUACGUG
RNAcentral lists this ribosomal RNA (468 nucleotides) under uncultured bacterium. RNAcentral's name for it is "partial 16S ribosomal RNA". It matches the Rfam family "Bacterial small subunit ribosomal RNA", at positions 28 to 507 of the family's 1533-position model. The record is from RNAcentral.